RNAcentral lists this ribosomal RNA (492 nucleotides) under uncultured bacterium. RNAcentral describes it as "partial 16S ribosomal RNA". It matches the Rfam family "Bacterial small subunit ribosomal RNA", at positions 29 to 507 of the family's 1533-position model. The record is from RNAcentral.
AGUGAACGCUGGCGGUAGGCCUAACACAUGCAAGUCGAACGGCAGCACAGUAAGAGCUUGCUCUUACGGGUGGCGAGUGGCGGACGGGUGAGGAAUACAUCGGAAUCUACUUUUUCGUGGGGGAUAACGUAGGGAAGCUUACGCUAAUACCGCAUACGACCUACGGGUGAAAGCAGGGGAUCUUCGGACCUUGCGCGAUUGAAUGAGCCGAUGUCGGAUUAGCUAGUUGGCGGGGUAAAGGCCCACCAAGGCGACGAUCCGUAGCUGGUCUGAGAGGAUGAUCAGCCACACUGGAACUGAGACACGGUCCAGACUCCUACGGGAGGCAGCAGUGGGGAAUAUUGGACAAUGGGCGCAAGCCUGAUCCAGCCAUACCGCGUGGGUGAAGAAGGCCUUCGGGUUGUAAAGCCCUUUUGUUGGGAAAGAAAAGCAGCAGGUUAAUACCCCGCUGUUCUGACGGUACCCAAAGAAUAAGCACCGGCUAACUUCGUU